Molecule: long non-coding RNA, 2422 nt
Organism: Amphiprion ocellaris (clown anemonefish)
Lineage: Eukaryota; Metazoa; Chordata; Actinopteri; Pomacentridae
Exons: 3
Source: RefSeq, a predicted model, not a curated record
GUUUAGGGAAGAGUGCAGUGUCAUCUGGGCGACGGCGAGUGAUCAGCGAUCGUAGGGCGCGGAUCAGACCCUCCUGUAGUUGCUCUACGGCCCACAUGUCCGAGAUGCCAGAGCGGUCUGAGGAGCAGAGGAUGUCAGUAGACCAGCACCACAGCCAUGAAGAGGGCCAUUUCAUCAGGCUCUAGCCCCAGAGAGCCCAACUUCUCGCUGAAUUCAAACAUUGCAUCCAGCAGAGAGCCCAUGCCCAAGGCCCGCAGCGUGGACAGGGGGCGGCAUCAACACAGAAGCUUCCGUGAGAGCGGCGGAGCGGCGGGAGGGAGGAGAGGAGGGCCCGGCUAUCUCACGCGGUGCACGCGGCUCUGCAAGGGAAGCCACGUGAGGAGGCUUUUUGAUGGGGCUUUCGCUGGGAAGACAUGAAGCUGCUCUCUAGCCAGCAGCCACAGCUCCUACAGCCCGCCAGGGGCUUAUAAUUAAAGAGCCAAAUUAAAUAGAGCAGCAUGUUAUGCGGAGGGGUGGUCUGACUGCACCACCAGCAGCAGCAGCAGCAGCAGCAGCAGCAGCAGCAGCAGCAGCAGCAGCAGCAGCAGCAGCAGCAGCAGCAGCAGCAGCAGCAGCAGUAACAGUGCUGCCCCCACUGUCAGCCAGCCGCUGCAUCCAGUUCAAAACCACUGGGGUAAAGUCUAUGUGUCAGUGUGUGACCGGACCCUUGAGUUCUGGGUAAAUUGUCUCAUAGUAAAACCUCAUUAACACUAAAUCACUUAAUUGUGGUGGAUCACAGCUCAGGAGCCCAUGUUUGGACUGUUGUUUAACGUUUAAAAUAAUAUUAGUAAUAAUAAUAAUGAUAGGGAAUAACUAGUUAAAUUGUAACACAAGUCAUUUGUCCCUCUGAUCUGCUUCCAUUCAGUGUGAGUAAUGUCAUUAUUAUUAGGCGUGUCCUGCUUGUUCUCAAAAAAAGAAAAAGUAAGGCAAGCCUACUAUUAGGAUACACUUUUCAUUGCAUAUCUAUCUAUCUAUCUAUCUAUCUAUCUAUCUAUCUAUCUAUCUAUCUAUCUAUCUAUCUAUCUAUCUAUCUAUCUAUCUAUCUAUCUAAUGUGUGAAUUUUACAUUUUUAUGAUUGUUUUGCAAAGUAGAAGGUGGUAUUGAAUUCAGAUGGUUAUUCAGUUGACAUUUUAGUGAUAUCCAAUCAUUUUUAUUAAUAAGUGAUUGUUUCCACAAUAAAUAACUAUGGAAUUUGCAAAGACAUGAUCAUAAUGAACAUAAAAAACAUUAUUUUUUUUUAAACUUUUAAUAAAAUGUAUGCAAGAUAUAUGCCAUGGACUUUAAAGUUCCUCAAUUAUAUAUUGACCCUUGUAAUGGAUAGUUUUAUAGUUGGCGUUUUAUUGUAGGUGAAAAUUGCUAUCUAUCUAUCUAUCUAUCUAUCUAUCUAUCUAUCUAUCUAUCUAUCUAUCUAUCUAUCUAUCUAUCUAUCUAUCUAUCUAUCUAUCUAUCUGUGUGACCUUUACAUUUUUACCCUGAAGUGGGGUGUAUUUAAAUAAAUAAUCAUGACUUAUUACCCAGCAAAUUUCUUGUUUUGGAUAACUUUUUAUUUUGGGUUUUAUUGUCGGCGAAAAUUGUUGGUUUGAAUAUUUUUGUGGUGGCUGUAGUAGUUUUAAACAUGCUGAGAAUAAUGCAGAAAACCUCCACCAGGGGAGUGUCGGAGGAAGUUUUAGUGAGAGCAGCUACAGAGCAUGAAGUUAUGCAGUGGACAGCAGGGCAUGCCAAAUUGGUCAGGCAACUUUGUUUGUCUGUUGUUUAUCAAAUGUCACGGAGCCACAUUUGAUUAUGAUCUGCCAACUGAAUGCGACGUAACGGUGCAGCUAUAGGCUGUUUCUACAGAGCAAAUGUUGGUGACAAAGAGGAAUAUUUGUGUCACAUUUGGUUCUGGCACUACAGUACAGCUGAUCUUUGACAUGAGAUAAAGUUUCUAGAAAUAUCGAUUCUGGACAAUAUUCUGUAAUCCAUUUGCACAACAUGUUUUCAGAUAGUUUUCACUGAUUUGGUUUAUUUCUAAAAAAUAAGUCCACAAAAACUCUUAAAGGUGACCUUGAUCUGUCCUACCGUAUAUUUACUAGUCUGCUGGUCACACAGUCGAUAUCUGCAUAUUCUGUAUUUUGGCUUAAUAUGUGAACCCCCCUGCCCCACCUCAUAACCCACAACCCGGUGUUAUGUGGAGGGAAAUAGGGGCAUAUGGGUAUGAUGUUUAUGAGCUUGGCUUAGUUCAUUACAAUAAACUCGAAAAUGAAAUUAAGUCACAUGCAUACCAGUGAUGUUACUGAAAUGUUAAAGCUCAGUGAACCUAGGUUAAUUCACUGAAAUUUGGAUUGAUGAGGGGAAAAAUACACAUACCUAUAGUUAUCUAUCUGUUCAUAUUAAUUAAAUAACU